GGGAAAAAAAAAAAAAAGGGGGUUGGGGGGGGAAGGGGGAAGUUCUACAGUAACAAAAAAAUUUAGCAUUGAGAUUUUUGCCUAGAAAUAUAGAGAAUGCACAAAAAGGUUCUAUCUUUCUAAAGUACUUUAGGUGGGUACAACAGCCCCAGGAUGGGGUAAUAACUGCAACACGAAUAGCCAAAAGAACAAGAUAAGCAAACUCAACUGGAUAAAGAAACAUGAAGUAACCUUACAUAUUCUCCGCUGCACCUUCAACACCUCUUCAGUCCCUAAAAUAACUCGCCGAUAUUUUUCCACAUCCUCUGCUUGUUUUCUAAGCAUCACAGCCUUACCCUCUGCCUCCCCGAGCUUGUUCAGCAUUUGUUCUUGCUCACCAGCCAGGGCUUCUUGUUGUUCAAAGAAAGUGAGUUGAUCGCCUGCAACAACUCUCAACUUUUGUAUUGUCCUUGUGAGUAUCAAAUACUCAACCUCGGCCUCAAUCUUUUGCUUGAAGAGGCUCUCAAGCUCAGAUUCAAUCUCUCUAGAUUUCUCCUGCUGCAACUUUAUGGCGUUUCCUGAUUCUUCUGUUGGUGACUUGCCACUAAUCAAGGUAUUUUCGAGUUCUACAAUCCUGGACUCCUUUACAUUAAGCAUUGUGUUUGCCUCCUCCAGUUUGGUUUCCAAAUAUUUUACAUUUUCUGUCAAGCUUAACACUUGAGAUUCCAAGGAACUUGAUUGUCUGAUAUUUUCAGAAUCAAACUGGUCACAUGAACUUGACUCAUGGAUUCUCCUGUCAGUAGAAGUGGAAUCUACUGGAAUGCUGCUAAUUUUCCCAAUUUCCUCAAACUUUAGAACCUCACUUUCAAGGGCUUCCUGCACCGUUUGGAGGGUAACAAGUGACUCAACCAAAGGAUCUUGAUCUGCAGAGGGCUGAUGGCUCUCACUUUUCUCUUCCUUAUCUUCCCAAGGAGCAUCUGCAGCUAAAUCAUCUUGUGAAGCAUUUUCAACUUCUCCCACAUUCUCUUGGCCAUAACCAGUCUGAAUUUCCUCACAAAACUGUUGCUCACCUGCAUGGCCAUCAUCACUGUUUUCUCCAUCAUAAUUUUCACUUUGAUUUCCAUUACUAGUAACAGAAUAAACACCCUGCAUAAAGACAAAGUUGGAGCUUCUCGAGUCAGAUUCCAUGCUGGAAUGAGAGUUUUCCUUCUCCAUUUUGACCCUUUCUCCUCUAGGCUUCUUACUGCUUUCUGCCCGUCCCUUUCCUUGAGGAACUCGUUGAGUUGAGCUAGCCACACUCUUCCAACUAAAAUUCUUGCUCCUGUUCUUCUCCCUUAAGUAACCCAACACUGCAGGAAGCUCAUACCUCAACCUUGGAGCACUGGCGGCUGUUGAAGACUUGCUACUUCGAUCCUCACUAUUCUCAGAAUCUGUGCCCAGAGCAAAAGCAGGGCCAACUGCAAAUCUGGAUUCCAAAAUUGGACCAUGAGUCACCAACCCAUCACUGAAACCCACAUUUCUAAACAUAUUAGCUGAUCCAGUAGAACCCUCACUAUUUUGUUUGAUCUCAGCUGACAAUAAGUUUGUCUGUUUGAUCCCAGAACUAGACAAUCCUCGCUUCAAAACUUUACUGUUAUCAGCACCGGUAUUUGCAUCCUUAACAACCUCUCUCUUAAUUCGCCUCCACUUUCUCAACCCAUAUCCUUUUGUAAUAGUAGUUGACCCCACAACAGGAGAUUUAGCCGUUAUAGGGUUAAAAUUCACAGCACCUUCUUUCACUUGUCCAUCAAGAUGCUCAGUAUUAGCACCAAUAAUUCUGCUAGUAGCGAGGUUAUGAAUCUCAUUUGAACACGACCCAUUAGCCUUAAACUUGUCCUUAUUCUGAUCAAGACCGGAAACACUAUCCGGAUUGGUAGUCAAUUCAUUAUCUUCAACAGAUUCAAGAGCAGAAUUUUCACCUUCCAAAUCCAUAAAUCUUUAAAGGGUCUCUUUGGAUCAAGAUCAAGAACAACAAACUAUCAUUCCAGCACUGUAAUGUUCAAAUCAGCACAAUCUCGAAAUACAAAAAAGAAAAGACCAACCACUCUAAUUGGAUCAAUUUGUCUUUUUUUGCAUCAAACUCAAAAGAGUUCUGUUUUCUUCAAAACAAGUUCAUUAUCAUAAAGAUCAUCUCUUUAUCAAAUGAAAUUAAGAUUUUGGAAAUUAGAGCAAUAUAACUGUAAUUGACCCCAGAAAACGAAAAGAAAGUAAAAAUAAAGUAUAUAAGAAAGAAAGGACGCACCUUGUAUAAGUAUUCAUUAACAAAAAUGAAAGCAUUGAAUUGAAUGUUAAAACCCGGUGAUUAGAUGAUGAUUGCAGCUUUCCACAAUCAUAAAAUUCGAAGGGAAUAGAAACCCUAAACUACACUUGGAUUAGCA
This 2396-nucleotide unclassified non-coding RNA is filed under the name Hevea brasiliensis (rubber tree). Lineage: Eukaryota; Viridiplantae; Streptophyta; Magnoliopsida; Malpighiales; Euphorbiaceae. The record is from RNAcentral.